GUCCACGCCGUAAACUAUGAUUACUCGUUCUCGGCGAUACACAGUCGGGGACUAAGCGAAAGUGAUAAGUAAUCCACCUGGGGAGUACGAUCGCAAGGUUGAAACUCAAAGGAAUUGACGGGGGCCCGCACAAGCGGUGGAGCAUGUGGUUUAAUUCGAUGAUACGCGAGGAACCUUACCAGGGCUUAAAUGUAGAAUGACAGGUGUGGAAACAUACCCUUCUUCGGACAAUCUACAAGGUGCUGCAUGGCUGUCGU
This 257-nucleotide ribosomal RNA is filed under the name uncultured bacterium. RNAcentral describes it as "partial 16S ribosomal RNA". It matches the Rfam family "Bacterial small subunit ribosomal RNA", at positions 793 to 1055 of the family's 1533-position model. The record is from RNAcentral.